This 495-nucleotide ribosomal RNA is filed under the name uncultured bacterium. RNAcentral's name for it is "partial 16S ribosomal RNA". It matches the Rfam family "Bacterial small subunit ribosomal RNA", at positions 28 to 507 of the family's 1533-position model. The record is from RNAcentral.
GAUGAACGCUGGCGGCGUGCCUAAUACAUGCAAGUAGAACGCUGAAGGAGGAGCUUGCUCUUCUGGAUGAGUUGCGAACGGGUGAGUAACGCGUAGGUAACCUGCCUGGUAGCGGGGGAUAACUAUUGGAAACGAUAGCUAAUACCGCAUGACAACAGUUAUUGCAUGAUAACUGUUUAAAAGGGGCAACUGCUCCACUACCAGAUGGACCUGCGUUGUAUUACCUAGUUGGUGAGGUAACGGCUCACCAAGGCGACGAUACAUAGCCGACCUGAGAGGGUGAUCGGCCACACUGGGACUGAGACACGGCCCAGACUCCUACGGGAGGCAGCAGUAGGGAAUCUUCGGCAAUGGACGGAAGUCUGACCGAGCAACGCCGCGUGAGUGAAGAAGGUUUUCGGAUCGUAAAGCUCUGUUGUAAGAGAAGAACGAGUGUGAGAGUGGAAAGUUCACACUGUGACGGUAUCUUACCAGAAAGGGACGGCUAACUACGUG